Molecule: ribosomal RNA, 373 nt
Filed under: uncultured bacterium
Lineage: Bacteria
Description: bacterial SSU rRNA
Rfam family: Bacterial small subunit ribosomal RNA
Source: RNAcentral
GUAGGGGGCAAGCGUUGUUCGGAUUUAUUGGGCGUAAAGAGCGUGGAGGCGGCCAGGUAGGUGGGUUGUGAAAACUGGAGGCUCAACCUUCAGACGUCGACCCAAACCCCCUGGCUAGAGUCCGGAAGAGGAGAGUGGAAUUCCUGGUGUAGCGGUGAAAUGCGCAGAUAUCAGGAAGAACACCCGUGGCGAAGGCGGCUCUCUGGGACGGUACUGACGCUGAGACGCGAAAGCGUGGGGAGCGAACAGGAUUAGAUACCCUGGUAGUCCACGCCGUAAACGAUGGGUGCUAGGUGGUGGGGGGGUGUCGACUCCCCCCGUGCCGAAGCUAACGCAUUAAGCACCCCGCCUGGGGAGUACGGCCGCAAGGCUA